GUGACUGUUCAUUGUUCACAUUGUUCGGUUUUGUGAAACUCUGGAGCUCACGAUUUUCUUUAAAUGGAUUUUUGUAAUGUUUUUUUUGUUGAUCUAAAAAGAUUAUGUGAAGUUUAAGGGAAAUCUCGAACAAUUGAAGCCCACAAUCACUAGCAACCUACUGCUUCUUCUUCUUUCAUCGAGGUUAGGGCUUUCUUUUUCAGUCACUCCCAGAUUGGCCAGACCCCUCACUACAAGAAAUCGAGAGGUUCACGAUGCACAAAACGGCGUCAAAAGAAACCACAUCGGAACAGACACCUUUCCUCAACGUUGUUUUGUACACCUUUGGAAUAAGUGAACACAUUAUUUUAACAUUACAUUUUUCCGACACUAUGCGUGGGACGUCGAAAAACAAGACGCUAUUCCCGACGUUUGGGCAUAGGGUGUCGAAAAUGGUUUUGAAUUAAAUUAAAUAUACAGAUUCUCCCGACGCUCGAUGCAUGGCUUCAGGCAUGGACAGCCCUAUUCCCGACGGUACUCGUUAUACGUCGAGAAUAGUUGACACCAUUUACGAUGCCAUACAUGGGCCGUCGAAAAAUAUUCAAACAUUAAUUAUGUCAGAUCAAGAUUCUUGAUGCCCCAUGCAUGAUGUCGAAAAUGGUUUUACCUGUUUCCGAUGCCAUUAGUGAUUUGUCGGUAAUAGUUUUACCUAUUCCCCAUAAGUCAUUAAUGGUGUCGGGAACAAGUUAGAGCUCCCGACAUUUUCAUUCUACGUCAGGAGUUUCCUAAUAAAAAAGGUGUUUCAGAUCUGUGAAACAUAGAACCGAAACGGAAGAGAAGGAGAAAGAGAAAUUGGUGAAACGAAAGAGAAGAAAGAAAUCGUAUCGUCAUCGCCGUUUUCGUUGCCAUCAUGAUCCUGCGAUCGUGCCGCUCCCACUGCUCAUCCCUAUUUGAGCCAAUGGGUGGAUUCCGAUGACGAUCGCAUAUGGUGUGGAGAAGCCUAUUUUCCCACCCGCCGUUCGCUUCAGCCAGGCGAUAGACGUGUGUGUGUGAAAGACAUUUCCUGUUCGUUGUCUUAAGUGGACGGACGUAGGUAGAGAAUACAUCGAGGUUGUCAAGGGCGACCUCCAGUGGUUUUUUGUGCUUGAUUUCAAUGAUCAAGCAAUGAAUAGGUUCGUUAAGCAUCAAAUGUCUAACACCUUUAAAGAGUUCUAGGGGAUUGCCACAGGUACUUUAAAAAGUACAGCGACCCCGAGGAGGCCCGUACCAACCCACCACACCUUUUGGUGGGACGUAAUGAGGAUUGACACUACCCCUGUGACCACUACAUCAGUUGUGCAUUCCAGGAGGAAUCACGGAUGAACAAGACUGCCAGACAGAAGCAGCCUUACAAUCAUAGCAAUGGGUCGAAGUUGUUUCUACAAUGAAUGUACGAGCUAGCUAAGCAAAGAGAGGAGCCGAUCAAUCGUGUAGAGUUGUUCUGGCAAACACACGUUCGAGAUGGAACAUUCGUAUUGCAAACUGCGAAGGACGCGCAUAUGCAAGCUUAAUGUCAAGUUGUAGCUCCAUUUAAUUUGUAUAUUCAAUGUAUCUUCUUCAUUAAGUGGUGUGAGUUCUCUCAGAUGGUAGACAGAUUGGACGAUGGAGCGAAGGAGUAGCAUAAAAUGUUUAUGCUUUUGAAUUUUAUACUUUUCAUUGAACAAAAUGUUUUAACUGUUAUUGAUUUUAUUUGAUUGUCCUUUAUUGAUUCAUGAUAUUCAUAGUUAGAUAAUGUCUAAUUCUGAAUUAUU
Cucumis melo (muskmelon) is the source of this 1769-nucleotide long non-coding RNA. RefSeq lists it as uncharacterized. NCBI's taxonomy places the organism in Eukaryota, Viridiplantae, Streptophyta, Magnoliopsida, Cucurbitales, Cucurbitaceae. The record is from RefSeq and is a predicted model, not a curated record. The transcript is spliced from 5 exons.